This 76-nucleotide transfer RNA is filed under the name Candidatus Saccharimonadota bacterium. RNAcentral describes it as "tRNA-Gly". It matches the Rfam family "tRNA". From Rfam's summary of the family: Transfer RNA (tRNA) molecules are approximately 80 nucleotides in length. Their secondary structure includes four short double-helical elements and three loops (D, anti-codon, and T loops). Further hydrogen bonds mediate the characteristic L-shaped molecular structure. tRNAs have two regions of fundamental functional importance: the anti-codon, which is responsible for specific mRNA codon recognition, and the 3' end, to which the tRNAs corresponding amino acid is attached (by aminoacyl-tRNA synthetases). tRNAs cope with the degeneracy of the genetic code in two manners: having more than one tRNA (with a specific anti-codon) for a particular amino acid; and 'wobble' base-pairing, i.e. permitting non-standard base-pairing at the 3rd anti-codon position. The record is from RNAcentral. Lineage: Bacteria; Candidatus Saccharimonadota. RNAcentral also lists the same sequence under 1 other name.
GCGGGUUUAGCUCAGUUGUUAGAGCGCGUCCUUGCCAAGGACGAGGCCAGGAGUUAGAGUCUCCUAACCCGCACCA